RNAcentral lists this transfer RNA (91 nucleotides) under Trichodelitschia bisporula. It matches the Rfam family "tRNA". From Rfam's summary of the family: Transfer RNA (tRNA) molecules are approximately 80 nucleotides in length. Their secondary structure includes four short double-helical elements and three loops (D, anti-codon, and T loops). The record is from Rfam by way of RNAcentral. Lineage: Eukaryota; Fungi; Ascomycota; Dothideomycetes; Phaeotrichales; Phaeotrichaceae.
GGCAGUGUGCCAGAGUGGUUAAUGGGUAUGACUCGAAUUUAUUCGCAAUCAUAUGGCUUCGGCCGCACAGGUUCGAGUCCUGUCACUGUCG